This 25-nucleotide transfer RNA is filed under the name Cecropia pachystachya. Its description in RNAcentral is "partial tRNA-Leu". The record is from RNAcentral. Lineage: Eukaryota; Viridiplantae; Streptophyta; Magnoliopsida; Rosales; Urticaceae.
UUUGGUUCAAGUCCCUCUAUCCCCA